AGCCAGCUCUUCUCUGCCCUGCUUCCUGCCACUCGGCCCCAUCUCCUGCAGUCCUGAUGGAGGACUGACCCACUCUGCCCUGCGUCCGUCCCACCUCCUGACCCCUCAUUCUCACUUCCCUGGGCCUUUGUAUUUUGUAAAGUCCAGCUACAAACCAGAGUUGUGCCAUUCUGCCCAGGAUCUGCCCUUGGUUGGAGCCCUUCAUUCCUGCUUGCCACACCCUGCUCACUUCUGCCAAGAACUGUCCUAGGAAGCCUGCAGACUUGUCGUGACCCCUAGGCUUGUGGCUUAGCCAAAGACACCCCCCUAGUUCAUUGGGCAUUCCAUAGACUCAAACACAUUUUGGGAAACACCUCCCCUGCCAAGAAGAGAGCUAUGCCGUCUCCCGAGGUGCUCCCUUGCUAACGUGUGACGUUGGCCCCAGAGGUCCAGGCAGAGAGGAAGGAUGAUAGUCAUCCAGUCCACGUGGACAACUGCAUCCUGAAUGCCGAGACCCUCGUGUGUGUCAAAGAGCCCCCAGCCUACACCUUCCGGGAUUACAGCGCCAUCCUUUACCUAAAUGGGGACUUCGAUGGCGGAAACU
RNAcentral lists this small RNA (583 nucleotides) under Pongo abelii (Sumatran orangutan). RNAcentral's name for it is "retained intron". Lineage: Eukaryota; Metazoa; Chordata; Mammalia; Primates; Hominidae. The record is from RNAcentral.